RNAcentral lists this ribosomal RNA (465 nucleotides) under uncultured bacterium. RNAcentral describes it as "partial 16S ribosomal RNA". It matches the Rfam family "Bacterial small subunit ribosomal RNA", at positions 28 to 507 of the family's 1533-position model. The record is from RNAcentral.
GACGAACGCUGGCGGCGUGCUUAACACAUGCAAGUCGAACGGAAAGGCCCUGCUUGCAGGGUACUCGAGUGGCGAACGGGUGAGUAACACGUGGGUGAUCUGCCCUGCACUUCGGGAUAAGCCUGGGAAACUGGGUCUAAUACCGGAUAGGAGCCAUUUUUAGUGUGAUGGUUGGAAAGUUUUUUCGGUGUGGGAUGAGCUCGCGGCCUAUCAGCUUGUUGGUGGGGUAAUGGCCUACCAAGGCGGCGACGGGUAGCCGGCCUGAGAGGGUGGACGGCCACAUUGGGACUGAGAUACGGCCCAGACUCCUACGGGAGGCAGCAGUGGGGAAUAUUGCACAAUGGGCGCAAGCCUGAUGCAGCGACGCCGCGUGGGGGAUGACGGCCUUCGGGUUGUAAACUCAUUUCGCUAGGGACGAAGCUUUUUGUGACGGUACCUAGAUAAGAAGCACCGGCUAACUACGUG